Molecule: ribosomal RNA, 253 nt
Filed under: uncultured bacterium
Lineage: Bacteria
Description: partial 16S ribosomal RNA
Rfam family: Bacterial small subunit ribosomal RNA
Source: RNAcentral
GACGGAGGGGGCUAGCGUUGUUCGGAAUCACUGGGCGUAAAGGGUGCGUAGGCGGCGCGGUAAGUCGGGUGUGAAAUCUCGGAGCUUAACUCCGAAACUGCAUUCGAUACUGCCGUGCUUGAGGACUGGAGAGGAGACUGGAAUUUACGGUGUAGCGGUGAAAUGCGUAGAUAUCGUAAGGAAGACCAGUGGCGAAGGCGGGUCUCUGGACUGGUAUUGACGCUGAGGAGCGAAAGCGUGGGUAGCGAACAGG